GAUCUCGACGGAGAGUUUGAUCCUGGCUCAGGACGAACGCUGGCGGCGUGCCUAACACAUGCAAGUCGAGCGGGGUCCAACCAGUGGCAACACUGGGGAAGACCUAGCGGCGAACGGGUGAGUAACACGUGAGAAACCUACCCCGAAGACUGGGAUAACUCCGGGAAACCGGAGCUAAUACCGGAUGCCCUCACCAAGCCGCAUGGCCAGGUGAGGAAAGGUUAAUUCUGCUUCGGGAGGGUCUCGCGGCCUAUCAGCUUGUUGGUGAGGUAACGGCUCACCAAGGCGUCGACGGGUAGCUGGUCUGAGAGGACGAUCAGCCACACUGGGACUGAGACACGGCCCAGACUCCUACGGGAGGCAGCAGUGGGGAAUCUUGCGCAAUGGGCGAAAGCCUGACGCAGCAACGCCGCGUGGGGGAUGAAGGCUUUCGGGUUGUAAACCCCUUUCAGCAGGGACGAUUGUGACGGUACCUG
RNAcentral lists this ribosomal RNA (476 nucleotides) under Acidimicrobiia bacterium. RNAcentral describes it as "bacterial SSU rRNA". It matches the Rfam family "Bacterial small subunit ribosomal RNA", at positions 1 to 481 of the family's 1533-position model. The record is from RNAcentral. Lineage: Bacteria; Bacillati; Actinomycetota; Acidimicrobiia.